Molecule: long non-coding RNA, 235 nt
Filed under: Elaeis guineensis (African oil palm)
Lineage: Eukaryota; Viridiplantae; Streptophyta; Magnoliopsida; Arecales; Arecaceae
Description: long non-coding RNA (EGUI_LNC035150)
Source: RNAcentral
GCUCAAGUCCUGAUCGAAUCAGGAUCAAAUUUUUCUUGCAAUCAGACUUGAUCAAAUCAAACCCAAUUUAAGUCAAAUUGAAUCCAAUUCAAUUAGACUUGAUCCAAAGCUCUUUACUCAAUCAAAUUGAGUCAUUUAGCAAUAUAAUUGCUAAUUAAUUCUCCAUUAAUAGUAGAGUCUCAGUCCAGUGGGACUCUCUUCCAGAGUCACAAUCCAAUUGGACUCUUCAGCCAUC